ACAGGUGGCCGCUUCCGUACACGUUGUCUACGUGCUGUGGUGCUUUAAUACAGCUUUGCAUCUGCAUGCCCUGUCAGUUGUCCACUUGACAAAUUUGCACAGUGUUUGUUUUUCAGAAAUAGCAAAAAUGAGCUGUGCCAUAGUGUGAAUUAAAAUUUAUCCAGUUUGUGACAACUGCUGCUGUGUUUAGUGGUAGCAUUUCCUUAGUUUCUAAUGUCGCCUUUUCCCUCUUCCACGUUCCCCCCCAUGUGUGCGAGCUGCUACGAGCGAAGAGUGGCAAGGCUGUCAUUCACUCGUUUCGAAAUUGUGUCGCUUCUAUCCGCCUCGUCUCUACUAUUCUAUGUACCUACCCUCUCGACUGUUGGCGAUGGUACAAAGGGAAUGUGGAGUACUGGGGAGAGCAGAGAGAAUCCCAUAAAGGAGACAAACCAGGCGAUGCUGCGGAAGAGGAAUGUGGACAGGCCAUUGUCUGCAUAUGCCUGCUUGAACAUCACCUGCAGAGAACAUGUGGGCCACUUGGCCAUGCAGCUACUCAAAUCACACAGCACACAAGAAACGACCAAUUCCUGUAACAUGAUGGUCGUCUUCCACACCCAGCAUGUGUUGAUGUGUGCAGAUGAAAAAUAAGUUCUGGCUGUGAUUCUUGAAAGUCAGCUAACACAGCAUGACUGCCUUCUUGGAAUCCAGCAAGUCAACCAGUUGUGCAGAUUCGCACAAGAGCCAUCGCCUUGUGCCGGCUGUGUUAUAUCAACAGCGCAACGGAAGUCCCUGGCACUGCGACCACCUUUGGCAGCGUCACAUCGCGUGUCCUUCGUGGAUGGCACAAGAGGGCGAGCACCGACAAGCCUUUCCAGUGGGCAGCAGCAUGACAGGCUCGGCAAUCCCUCUCCUUCGUUCUUCAGAUUGGUGAUAACCGACCUUCGCACUGUUUUCAUAUUGGUAGCCCUUAUUUGUUGCUGCUGCCUUGCCCCCUAUGUGUACAAAGUGUUGUCUUAUAUAGUUUCCAAAGCAAAACGUUUAAUACUUUGUGGGGCUAUAGAAACAAACCCUGGUCCUACUCAAAACAAAAUAUGUUACACCUACUUUCUGGACACCAAAAGAUAGUGGAAAAUAUGGCAGUCAUGCAGUCUUCACAGGAAAAGAUAGAAAAGAAGCUGUGUGGUUAGCAAUAGGAAUAGAUGCAAUGGAAGAACAACUAUCUGCACUUUCCACAUUAGGCAACAAGAUUAAGGACUUAGAAGGCAAGAUGUCCUGCUUUGACAAAGAUUUUUUGGUACUCAAAGACAAAGCAGACAACUUAGAAAAUAAGAGCCGCCAAAAUAACCUGAUUCUUUACAGUUUAGAUGAGCCUCAAUAUGAGAUGCACAAAGAACUGGAAAAGAAAUUUAAUGAAGACAUUGUAGGAAAUAUAUUGGGAUUUAUAGCGGCCAGCAUCGAGUGAAUUUACAGGGUAGGCCGCAAUGUUGAUAAGUCACAUCAAAUUGUAAUUGAGUUUCUAGAUUAUCGAGAGAAAACAGGCACCUUAAAGGUCUCUCAUAACUUUAAAGGCACUUCACUGUUUAUUGCUGAGGAUUUUUCAUGACAUGUUCGUGAGCAUCGAGAAAUGCUACGGAAAAGUACCCAUGAAGAAGAGAAAAAGGGGGUAAAGUAAAACUUAUCUACGAUAAGUUAAGCGUAGACGGUGUUAUGUAUGGCUGGGAUGAAGACAAAAAGUGUUGUUUUAACCUGAAAAGUGCUCUUUGAAAUUGACAAGUGAACAGUGAACAUCGAUCCCUGAAACUUCUA
RNAcentral lists this long non-coding RNA (1785 nucleotides) under Dermacentor andersoni. RNAcentral describes it as "uncharacterized LOC126523424". Lineage: Eukaryota; Metazoa; Arthropoda; Arachnida; Ixodida; Ixodidae. The record is from RNAcentral.